AGAGUUUGAUCAUGGCUCAGAUUGAACGCUGGCGGAAUGCUUUACACAUGCAAGUCGAGCGGCAGCACGGGGGCAACCCUGGUGGCGAGCGGCGAACGGGUGAGUAAUACAUCGGAACAUGCCCAGUCGUGGGGGAUAACACUUCGAAAGAAGUGCUAAUACCGCAUACGUCCUGAGGGAGAAAGCGGGGGAUCGCAAGACCUCGCGCGAUUGGAGUGGCCGAUGUCAGAUUAGCUAGUUGGUGGGGUAAAGGCCUACCAAGGCAACGAUCUGUAGCUGGUCUGAGAGGAUGAUCAGCCACACUGGGACUGAGACACGGCCCAGACUCCUACGGGAGGCAGCAGUGGGGAAUUUUGGACAAUGGGGGCAACCCUGAUCCAGCCAUUCCGCGUGAGUGAAGAAGGCCUUCGGGUUGUAAAGCUCUUUCGGCAGGAACGAAACGGCGAGCUCUAACAUAGCUUGCUAAUGACGGUACCUGAAGAAGAAGCACCGGCUAACUACGUGCCACCAGCCGCGGUAAUACGUAGGGUGCGAGCGUUAAUCGGAAUUACUGGGCGUAAAGCGUGCGCAGGCGGUUGUGUAAGACAGGUGUGAAAUCCCCGGGCUUAACCUGGGAACUGCGCUUGUGACUGCACGGCUAGAGUAUGGCAGAGGGGGGUGGAAUUCCACGUGUAGCAGUGAAAUGCGUAGAGAUGUGGAG
RNAcentral lists this ribosomal RNA (700 nucleotides) under uncultured bacterium. Its description in RNAcentral is "bacterial SSU rRNA". It matches the Rfam family "Bacterial small subunit ribosomal RNA", at positions 8 to 703 of the family's 1533-position model. The record is from RNAcentral.